This 482-nucleotide ribosomal RNA is filed under the name uncultured bacterium. Its description in RNAcentral is "partial 16S ribosomal RNA". It matches the Rfam family "Bacterial small subunit ribosomal RNA", at positions 30 to 507 of the family's 1533-position model. The record is from RNAcentral.
AUUGAACGCUGGCGGCAUGCUUUACACAUGCAAGUCGAACGGUAACAGGCCGCAAGGUGCUGACGAGUGGCGAACGGGUGAGUAAUGCAUCGGAACGUGCCCAGUCGUGGGGGAUAACUACUCGAAAGAGUAGCUAAUACCGCAUACGAUCUAUGGAUGAAAGCGGGGGACCGUAAGGCCUCGCGCGAUUGGAGCGGCCGAUGUCAGAUUAGGUAGUUGGUGGGGUAAAGGCUCACCAAGCCAACGAUCUGUAGCUGGUCUGAGAGGACGACCAGCCACACUGGGACUGAGCCACGGCCCAGACUCCUGCGGGAGGCAGCAGUGGGGAAUUUUGGACAAUGGGCGCAAGCCUGAUCCAGCAAUGCCGCGUGCAGGAAGAAGGCCUUCGGGUUGUAAACUGCUUUUGUACGGAACGAAACGGCUCUGGUUAAUACCCGGGGCUAAUGACGGUACCGUAAGAAUAAGCACCGGCUAACUACGUG